GUUUGAUCCUGGCUCAGAACGAACGCUGGCGGCGUGGAUAAGACAUGCAAGUCGAACGGAAAUUGAGCAUAGCUUGCUAAGCUCAAUUUUAGUGGCGGACGGGUUAGUAACACGUGAGAUACAUACCCUCUAGACAGGAAUAGCCCAUGGAAACGUGGAUUAAUGCCUGAUAGUCUCUAAGGAGUAAAUGGUGCCUUCGGGUGCCGCUAGAGGAUUGGCUCGCGGCCUAUCAGUUAGUUGGUGAGGUAAAGGCUCACCAAGACUACGACGGGUAGCUGGUCUGAGAGGACGAUCAGCAACACUGGAACUGAGACACGGUCCAGACACCUACGGGUGGCAGCAGUCGAGANUCAUUCACAAUGGAGGCAACUCUGAUGGUGCAACGCCGCGUGGAGGAUGACGGUCCUAGGAUUGUAAACUCCUGUCAUUGGGGAGUAAGACUUAUUAGUUAAUAGCUGGUAAGUUUGAUAGUACCCAAAGAGGAAGGGACGGCUAACUUCGUGCCAGCAGCCGCGGUAAUAAGGGCGAAU
Molecule: ribosomal RNA, 530 nt
Filed under: uncultured bacterium
Lineage: Bacteria
Description: bacterial SSU rRNA
Rfam family: Bacterial small subunit ribosomal RNA
Source: RNAcentral